AGUGAACGCUGGCGGUAGGCCUAACACAUGCAAGUCGAACGGCAGCACAGUAAGAGCUUGCUCUUACGGGUGGCGAGUGGCGGACGGGUGAGGAAUACAUCGGAAUCUACUUUUUCGUGGGGGAUAACGUAGGGAAACUUACGCUAAUACCGCAUACGACCUACGGGUGAAAGCAGGGGAUCUUCGGACCUUGCGCGAAUGAAUGAGCCGAUGUCGGAUUAGCUAGUUGGCGGGGUAAAGGCCCACCAAGGCGACGAUCCGUAGCUGGUCUGAGAGGAUGAUCAGCCACACUGGAACUGGGACACGGUCCAGACUCCUACGGGAGGCAGCAGUGGGGAAUAUUGGACAAUGGGCGCAAGCCUGAUCCAGCCAUACCGCGUGGGUGAAGAAGGCCUUCGGGUUGUAAAGCCCUUUUGUUGGGAAAGAAAAGCAGCAGGUUAAUACCCCGCUGUUCUGACGGUACCCAGAGAAUAAGCACCGGCUAACUUCGUG
This 492-nucleotide ribosomal RNA is filed under the name uncultured bacterium. Its description in RNAcentral is "partial 16S ribosomal RNA". It matches the Rfam family "Bacterial small subunit ribosomal RNA", at positions 29 to 507 of the family's 1533-position model. The record is from RNAcentral.